Molecule: ribosomal RNA, 54 nt
Filed under: uncultured Thelephoraceae
Lineage: Eukaryota; Fungi; Basidiomycota; Agaricomycetes; Thelephorales; Thelephoraceae
Description: partial 28S ribosomal RNA
Source: RNAcentral
AUCUCAAAUCAGGUAGGACUACCCGCUGAACUAACCUAUCAUUAACCGAAGGAA